Long non-coding RNA from Chinchilla lanigera (long-tailed chinchilla), 215 nucleotides. RefSeq lists it as uncharacterized. Lineage: Eukaryota; Metazoa; Chordata; Mammalia; Rodentia; Chinchillidae. The record is from RefSeq and is a predicted model, not a curated record. The transcript is spliced from 3 exons.
CGGAGACCGCGGUGCUCGACCCCUGAGCGCCCCGGGGAGGUUUUGGCUGUAAAGUUGAGGGUGAAGUGUGCCAGAGGCAAAUAAAUGCUUCAGGAGCGAAGGAGUUGGAAUUUAGCCAGGUGAUAAGGCAUGUGUCCUGUAUGCCUUCCUUACCUGCUUUUUGGAUGUGAGCAAGAUCAACAGUGACAGGGGCCGUUUCACUGAGUCCACACUGG